GAUGAACGCUGGCGGCGUGCUUAACACAUGCAAGUCGAACGAAGCCCUUUUUUUGAUUUCCUUCGGGACUGAUUAUUUUGUGACUGAGUGGCGGACGGGUCAGUAACUCGUGGUUAACCUGCCUUGUCCAGGGGGAUAACAGUUGGAAACAGCUGCUAAUACCGCAUAAGCGCACAGCAUCGCUUGAUGCAGUGUGAAAAACUCCGGUGGUAUAAGAUGGAGCCGCGUUGGAUUAGCUAGUUGGUGAGGUAACGGCCCACCAAGGCGGCGAUCCAUAGCCGAGAUGUGAGAGAGGCCGGCGACACUGGGACUAGGAAGCAGCCCAGAAUCCUACGGGAGGCAGGAGAGGCGAAUAUUGCACAACGGGCGAAAGCAAGAUGCAGCGACGGCGCGAAAGCGAAGAUGUAGUGCGGUAAGUAAAGCAGGAUCAGAAGGGGAGAUAAUGACGGUACCUGAAGAAGAAGCACCGGCUAAAUACGUG
This 481-nucleotide ribosomal RNA is filed under the name uncultured bacterium. RNAcentral's name for it is "partial 16S ribosomal RNA". It matches the Rfam family "Bacterial small subunit ribosomal RNA", at positions 28 to 507 of the family's 1533-position model. The record is from RNAcentral.